RNAcentral lists this unclassified non-coding RNA (404 nucleotides) under soil metagenome. RNAcentral describes it as "partial contains 5.8S ribosomal RNA, internal transcribed spacer 2, and large subunit ribosomal RNA". The stretch from base 1 to 122 matches the Rfam family "5.8S ribosomal RNA", at positions 35 to 154 of the family's 154-position model. The record is from RNAcentral.
GAUGAAGAACGCAGCAAAAUGCGAUACUUGGUGUGAAUUGCAGAAUCCCGUGAACCAUCGAGUUUUUGAACGCAAGUUGCGCCCGAAGCCUUUUGGCCGAGGGCACGUCUGCCUGGGCGUCACGCAUCGCGUCGCCCCCCACAAUUCUCCGUAAAGGGAACGUGUGUUUUGGGGGCGGAUAUUGGUCUCCCGUGCUCAUGGCGUGGUUGGCCGAAAUAGGAGUCCUUUCGAUGGACGCACGAACUAGUGGUGGUCGUAAAACCCCUCGUCUUUUGUUUCGUGCUGUUGCUCGCAAGGUAAACUCUUUAAAAACCCCAAUGUGUCGUCUCUUGACGACGCUUCGACCGCGACCCCAGGUCAGGCGGGACUACCCGCUGAGUUUAAGCAUAUCAAUAAGCGGAGGA